UCAUUAGAUACCCGGGUAGUCCACGCCGUAAACGAUGAUCACUAGGUGUGGGUAGAGAACCUAUCCGUGCCGGAGUUAACACAAUAAGUGAUCCACCUGGGGAGUACGGCCGCAAGGUGAGCUAACUGUAAGGAGGCAGCAGUCGAAGGUAGAAUCAAUGACUGGGGUGAAGUCGUAACAAGGUAAC
RNAcentral lists this ribosomal RNA (187 nucleotides) under uncultured bacterium. Its description in RNAcentral is "partial 16S ribosomal RNA". It matches the Rfam family "Bacterial small subunit ribosomal RNA", at positions 775 to 1500 of the family's 1533-position model. The record is from RNAcentral.